GGUACCUCUGUGCGGGGUGGCGGGGUGAUACAGAGGGUGGGGGCGUUGUGCGGAAUAACUGGGCGUAAAGGGGGCGUAGGCGGUGGGGGAAGCGUGUGGUGAAAGCUCGGGGCUCAACUCCGAGUCGGCCAUGCGAACUGCUUCACUGGAGCACACUAGAGGCGGAUGGAAUUCCGGGUGUAGCGGUGGAAUGCGUAGAGAUCCGGAAGAACACCGGUGGCGAAGGCGGUCCGCUGGGGUGUAGCUGACGCUGAGGCGCGACAGCGUGGGGAGCAAACAGGAUUAGAUACCCAGGUAGUC
Molecule: ribosomal RNA, 300 nt
Filed under: uncultured Thermovibrio sp.
Lineage: Bacteria; Pseudomonadati; Aquificota; Aquificia; Desulfurobacteriales; Desulfurobacteriaceae
Description: bacterial SSU rRNA
Rfam family: Bacterial small subunit ribosomal RNA
Source: RNAcentral